GGUCUUUCCUCCUCCUCCUCCUUAUUCUUCUGUUCUUAACGAUCCAUAACUUCAUCUUCUUCAGCAACACCACCAGAACCAAAUCACAUCAUCACAAUCACAGCGAUAUCAACACCUCUCUAUCACAGCGACAUCGACACUCUCUGUCACAACGACCACGACCUUCUUCUUCAUUUCUUCUUCAAUUAUUUCAAAAGCUAACAUCAAGUCAACAACAGGGGUAAUGAGUUGAGGUUGUUGUUAAUUCAUGGAUGUAAACUUAGAAUUAGAAGAUAUUCCUAUUGAAUUGUAAACAGGGAAAGUUUGAUGUUGUAGAUUUAAUGGUGAUGCGGAGAAGAAGAAGAUGAAUCAGGGUUUUGGUGGAUGGUAUGUGCUGCCGAUCUGAGAUUCAGAUGGAGAUAGUGAUGCACUUGAAUUGAAUCAGGGUUUUGGUGGAUGGUAUGUGCUGCCGAUCUUAAAUCAAAAGCACAAGAAGAAGACAUUUUAAAGAGCAAAAAGGGGAUCUAGGGAAGGCUGAGUUGCUGUUGAUGGACUCAUUCUGAUGGUCUUUGUUCAAUCUCUCCUGUGUCAUUCUGUAUCUCUUUUGUCCGGCUACCUCUUUUUCUGAUUGAAAUUUCUUUAUUGGUAUUAAACAUGAACUUGUAUCUUGUGGUAGCUAGCUCAAAUAGUUAGGGUCAAAUUUGGGCAAGUAUGAGAUGAUAUUGUUGAACGCUUGAAACUGAUUAGAUGUAUGUUAGGAUCUGAAUGUGUGAAAUGCAGUGAAGAACUGAAGAAAAAUAGACCAAAAUACGGCCUGGAGUUUCCUUUGUA
Molecule: long non-coding RNA, 810 nt
Organism: Papaver somniferum (opium poppy)
Lineage: Eukaryota; Viridiplantae; Streptophyta; Magnoliopsida; Ranunculales; Papaveraceae
Exons: 2
Source: RefSeq, a predicted model, not a curated record